This 498-nucleotide small RNA is filed under the name Pan troglodytes (chimpanzee). Its description in RNAcentral is "retained intron". Lineage: Eukaryota; Metazoa; Chordata; Mammalia; Primates; Hominidae. The record is from RNAcentral.
AUGCUGGGCGCGCGGGCCUGGUUGGGCCGCGUCCUUCUGCUGCCCCGCGCCGGUGCAGGCCUCGCCGCGAGCCGCAGGGGUAGCUCCUCCCGGGACAAGGACCGAAGUGCGACGGUCAGUAGUUCAGUGCCCAUGCCUGCUGGAGGGAAGGGAAGCCAUCCUUCAUCUACACCCCAGAGGGUCCCCAACCGCCUGAUCCACGAGAAGUCACCAUACCUCCUACAACAUGCCUACAAUCCUGUGGACUGGUGAGCACCUCUCCUGGGGCCCUGCCUGGAAUCGCUGGGGUCCUGGGCCCCUCCCAGACCCCCUGGGCUACUGAGUGAUGCCCCACCCUGCUGGGUCUAGGUACCCCUGGGGACAGGAAGCCUUCGACAAGGCCAGGAAGGAAAACAAGCCGAUUUUCCUCUCAGGUAAUGCUCCCACCUUCCCUGAUGUGGGGGUGUGGGCAGGGAGCGGCAGUGGAUGGGGGAGGGCCCUCUCGGCCUGGCGGGUCUU